Molecule: long non-coding RNA, 802 nt
Filed under: Homo sapiens (human)
Lineage: Eukaryota; Metazoa; Chordata; Mammalia; Primates; Hominidae
Description: non-protein coding lnc-TP53TG3-17:1
Source: RNAcentral
CAUGGCCCCCUCAUCUCACACACACCCAGUGCGGCUCCUGCCCACCCGACUCCGUUACCUCCUGGCCCUCAGGUGUGAGCUCCUCUCAACUCCCAGCUGCCUAACCCAAUGCCCUGGCCAGUGCUUCCUGGCUCCUCCAGAGUGAAGUGUCUGCCCUCACUCCAGCCUCACCGGCGGUCCUCUCCUUCUGUCCCACUCAGCACAUGGCCCCUGCUGUUCUGUGGCCCACCCUUGGUCAUCCCAUGCCCCAGCUGCAGCAGGACCCAUGCCACUCUCUAGUCCACGCUCAAUCUAGCGCCUGUUUAUGCCCUCGCCCCAUGCAAGGGACUUUCCAUACCCCAAAUCCAAUGGAGCCACUCCCUGAGACGGCCCUUCCCUUCUACCUCUCCUCACGCUGCCCUACUCCCUGGUUUCUGCCAGGGGAAGAUACCACCAGCCCCAGCUCAAACAUGCGGCUCUUCCUCGCCCCUCCUUCCUCCCUCUCAUGCAGCCAACUCUUAGGGUUGCUCCCAUCCUCCCCCUUCCCCCGGGACCACCAAGUCCUCCCGACACUUAGCGCUUCCAUAGAUCAGUGACUUCUCCCCAGACCCCUGCCCUCCGCAUUCCUAUCCAAUGGACAUGAGCAGGAGCAUUACUCUUUCUUGAACUUUAUACUCACGAUGCCUCCCCAGCUUAAGAACCAUCAAAAGCUCCCUACUGUCCAUCAGAUCAAGGUCGAAGUCUUCAGUGAAGCCAUCAAAUGCCCUCUCUGUCCCCCUGGGGCCUCACCCUCUCCACCUUCAUGCCCAGGAGGUAGAUCCAC